This 694-nucleotide ribosomal RNA is filed under the name Staphylococcus epidermidis. RNAcentral's name for it is "bacterial SSU rRNA". It matches the Rfam family "Bacterial small subunit ribosomal RNA", at positions 42 to 717 of the family's 1533-position model. Lineage: Bacteria; Bacillati; Bacillota; Bacilli; Caryophanales; Staphylococcaceae. The record is from RNAcentral.
GCGUGCCUAAUACAUGCAAGUCGAGCGAACAGACGAGGAGCUUGCUCCUCUGACGUUAGCGGCGGACGGGUGAGUAACACGUGGAUAACCUACCUAUAAGACUGGGAUAACUUCGGGAAACCGGAGCUAAUACCGGAUAAUAUAUUGAACCGCAUGGUUCAAUAGUGAAAGACGGUUUUGCUGUCACUUAUAGAUGGAUCCGCGCCGCAUUAGCUAGUUGGUAAGGUAACGGCUUACCAAGGCAACGAUGCGUAGCCGACCUGAGAGGGUGAUCGGCCACACUGGAACUGAGACACGGUCCAGACUCCUACGGGAGGCAGCAGUAGGGAAUCUUCCGCAAUGGGCGAAAGCCUGACGGAGCAACGCCGCGUGAGUGAUGAAGGUCUUCGGAUCGUAAAACUCUGUUAUUAGGGAAGAACAAAUGUGUAAGUAACUAUGCACGUCUUGACGGUACCUAAUCAGAAAGCCACGGCUAACUACGUGCCAGCAGCCGCGGUAAUACGUAGGUGGCAAGCGUUAUCCGGAAUUAUUGGGCGUAAAGCGCGCGUAGGCGGUUUUUUAAGUCUGAUGUGAAAGCCCACGGCUCAACCGUGGAGGGUCAUUGGAAACUGGAAAACUUGAGUGCAGAAGAGGAAAGUGGAAUUCCAUGUGUAGCGGUGAAAUGCGCAGAGAUAUGGGAGGAACACCAGUGGCG